Molecule: ribosomal RNA, 207 nt
Filed under: uncultured bacterium
Lineage: Bacteria
Description: partial 16S ribosomal RNA
Rfam family: Bacterial small subunit ribosomal RNA
Source: RNAcentral
CGCGUAGGCGGCCUGGUAAGUCUGGAGUGAAAGUCCUGCUUUUAAGGUGGGAAUUGCUUUGGAUACUGCUGGGCUUGAGUGCAGGAGAGGUAAGUGGAAUUCCCGGUGUAGCGGUGAAAUGCGUAGAGAUCGGGAGGAACACCAGUGGCGAAGGCGACUUACUGGACUGUAACUGACGCUGAGGCGCGAAAGCGUGGGGAGCAAACA